RNAcentral lists this ribosomal RNA (349 nucleotides) under uncultured bacterium. RNAcentral's name for it is "bacterial SSU rRNA". It matches the Rfam family "Bacterial small subunit ribosomal RNA", at positions 8 to 349 of the family's 1533-position model. The record is from RNAcentral.
AGAGUUUGAUCCUGGCUCAGGAUGAACGCUAGCGACAGGCUUAACACAUGCAGGUCGAGGGGCAGCGAGGGAGUGGCAACACUUCUGUCGGCGACCGGCGCACGGGUGAGUAACGCGUAUGCAACCUGCCCUUCACAGGGGGAUAACCGGGAGAAAUUCCGACUAAUACCGCAUACGUCCUCCGGGGGCAUCCCCGGGGGAUGAAAGAAUUAUCGGUGAAGGAUGGGCAUGCGUGAUAUUAGGUAGUUGGCGGGGCAACGGCCCACCAAGCCCACGAUAUCUAGGGGUUCUGAGAGGAAGGUCCCCCACAUUGGUACUGAAGACACGGACCAAAACUCCUACGGGAGCA